CCAAGUUUUUAAGGGCGCACGGUGGAUGCCUUGGCACCAGGAACCGAUGAAGGACGUGGGAGGCCACGAUAGUCCCCGGGGAGUCGUCAACCAGGCUUUGAUCCGGGGGUUUCCGAAUGGGGAAACCCGGCAGUCGUCAUGGGCUGUCACCUACUGCUGAACACAUAGGCAGUGUGGAGGGAACGAGGGGAAGUGAAACAUCUCAGUACCCUCAGGAAGAGAAAACAACCGUGAUUCCGGGAGUAGUGGCGAGCGAAACCGGAUGAGGCCAAACCGUAUGUGUGUGAUACCCGGCAGGGGUUGCGCAUGCGGGGUUGUGGGAUCUCUCUUUCACAGUCUGCCGACUGUGAGACAAGUAAGAAACCGUCAUGAUAGGCGAAGGGCAUGCGAAAGGCCCGGCGUAGAGGGUAAGACCCCCGUAGCUGAAAUUGUGGCGGCUUGUUUGAGAGACACCCAAGUAGCACGGGGCCCGAGAAAUCCCGUGUGAAUCUGGCGGGACCACCCGUUAAGCCUAAAUAUUCCCUGGUGACCGAUAGCGGAUAGUACCGUGAGGGAAUGGUGAAAAGUACCGCGGGAGCGGAGUGAAAUAGUACCUGAAACCGUGUGCCUACAAGCCGUGGGAGCGUCGGGAUGCGAGUUUACUCGUAUCCUCGUGACUGCGUGCCUUUUGAAGAAUGAGCCUGCGAGUUUGCGGUGUGUUGCGAGGUUAACCCGUGUGGGGAAGCCGUAGCGAAAGCGAGUCCGAACAGGGCGAUUCAGUAGCGCGCUCAAGACCCGAAGCGGAGUGAUCUAGCCCAUGGGCAGGUUGAAGCGGCUGUAAGAGGUCGUGGAGGACCGAACCCACCAGGGUUGAAAACCUGGGGGAUGACCUGUGGUUAGGGGUGAAAGGCCAAUCAAACUCCGUGAUAGCUGGUUCUCCCCGAAAUGCAUUUAGGUGCAGCGUCGUGUGUUUCUUGCCGGAGGUAGAGCACUGGAUAGGCGAUGGGCCCUACCGGGUUACUGACCUUAGCCAAACUCCGAAUGCCGGUAAGUGAGAGCGCGGCAGUGAGACUGUGGGGGAUAAGCUCCAUGGUCGAGAGGGAAACAGCCCAGAGCAUCGACUAAGGCCCCUAAGCGUACGCUAAGUGGGAAAGGAUGUGGAGUCGCAGAGACAACCAGGAGGUUGGCUUAGAAGCAGCCACCCUUGAAAGAGUGCGUAAUAGCUCACUGGUCAAGUGAUUCCGCGCCGACAAUGUAGCGGGGCUCAAGCGUACCGCCGAAGUCGUGUCAAUCCAGCAGAUAGCCCCAACGGGUGCUGGGUUGGGUAGGGGAGCGUCGUGUGCCGGGUGAAGCCGCGCCGGAAGGCAGUGGUGGACGGUUCACGAGUGAGAAUGCAGGCAUGAGUAGCGAUACACACGUGGGAAACGUGUGCGCCGAUUGACUAAGGGUUCCUGGGUCAAGCUGAUCUGCCCAGGGUAAGUCGGGACCUAAGGCGAGGCCGACAGGCGUAGUCGAUGGACAACCGGUUGAUAUUCCGGUACCCGCUUUGAAACGCCCAAUAUCGAAUCCUCUGAUGCUAAGUCCGUGAAGCCGCCCUUGAUCUCUUCGGAGUGAGGGGGAGUGGUGGAGCCGACGACCCGAGGUGGUAGUAGGUAAGCGAUGGGGUGACGCAGGAAGGUAGUCCAGCCCGGGCGGUGGUUGUCCCGGGGUAAGGGUGUAGGCCGUGUGAUAGGCAAAUCCGUCACACAUUAAGGCUGAGACCUGAUGCCGAGCCGAUUGUGGUGAAGUGGAUGAUCCUAUGCUGUCGAGAAAAGCCUCUAGCGAGUUUCAUGGCGGCCCGUACCCUAAACCGACUCAGGUGGUCAGGUAGAGAAUACCGAGGCGUUCGGGUGAACUAUGGUUAAGGAACUCGGCAAAAUGCCCCCGUAACUUCGGGAGAAGGGGGGCCAUGUCUGGUGAUCCAACGUGCUUGGUGAGCUGGGUGUGGCCGCAGAGACCAGCGAGAAGCGACUGUUUACUAAAAACACAGGUCCGUGCGAAGCCGUAAGGCGAUGUAUACGGACUGACGCCUGCCCGGUGCUGGAACGUUAAGGGGACCGGUUAGCCAGGAUUCGUUCUGGCGAAGCUGAGAACUUAAGCGCCAGUAAACGGCGGUGGUAACUAUAACCAUCCUAAGGUAGCGAAUUCCUUGUCGGGUAAGUCCGACCUGC
The sequence is a ribosomal RNA, 2189 nucleotides long. It matches the Rfam family "Bacterial large subunit ribosomal RNA", at positions 3 to 1991 of the family's 2925-position model.